This 4114-nucleotide unclassified non-coding RNA is filed under the name Leishmania donovani. RNAcentral describes it as "gene:LdHU3.12.1220(CDS-product:hypothetical_prote in)". The record is from RNAcentral. Lineage: Eukaryota; Euglenozoa; Kinetoplastea; Trypanosomatida; Trypanosomatidae.
ACGUGCGUGCGCAUACACACUACCCCUCACCUCGCUGCUGCUGCUGUGACAGCUCCACGGACCCUGCCCAGUCGCUGCUCCCCCGCCACUCGCCUCUGUCCCCCGCACGAGGGUACCUACGACGUGCCGGCCACCCCGCUCUGCCCGAUAAGCUGAGCUGGUGCUCACGCCCCAGCAAUCCCGCCCACGGAUCUGCUGCCGCGCCGCACUGCUCUUGACGCUGGCUGCGAAUGGCGCUGUGCGUGCGUCGGCUGGUGCUGGCGGCGACCCUCGCCGCUGCGGUGGCGCUGCUGCUGUGCACGAGCAGUGCGCCGGUGGUGCGUGCCGCUGGAACGGCCGAAUUCACUGAAACCCAGAAGUCAAACACGCUGAAGGUGCUGCAGGCGUUUGCGCGUGCGAUCCCUGAGCUUGGGAAGAAGUGGACGGGCGACGACUUCUGCUGGUGGGGGUUCGUCAUGUGCGUGUCAUCCGGCGUCAGCGUAUCGGUCCAACUCUCGAGCGCUGCCGGCACGCUGCCGGAGAUGCCUGAUAGCGUCGACUACACGAACGUCAUCAUCACGGGCCUCCGGUUCUUUCUAAUGCCAGAACUGGUCGGGACGCUGCCGGCCAGCUGGAGCAGGCUGCAGGGACUGACCUCCCUUACGUUUUGGGGCUGCGGCGUGAGCGGGACGCUGCCCCCUCGUGGCGCUCGAUGAAGUCUUUGACGUCGGUGUGGAUUCAAGACUGUCGAAGUAUCACCGGCACGCUGCCGCCUGAGUGGGCCUCGAUGCCUCUUCUGACGACGCUGCGGCUGAGGUACCUGCCACUGAGGAGUACGCUGCCCACUCAGUGGAGCUCGAUGACAUCGCUCACGAUUUUAAGUCUGGACAGUACUCAGGUUUACGGCACGCUGCCGCCCGGGUGGAGCGGAAUGUCGAAUGCCUGGCUCCUGCAGCUGGAGAACUGCGACCUGUCCGGCAGUCUGCCCUCCUCGUGGUCUGCGAUGCCGAAGCUGGAGAAAGUCUCACUGAGGGGCAACCACUUCUGCGGGUGUGUGCCGGACUCGUGGGCCCAGAACGCCGGUCUUGAUGUGAGUAUCGAGGAUAAGCACAAGGGCAGCAACUGCAUUGCUGGUACGGAGUGCACAACGCCCACGACGACCACGACCACCACUAAACCGCCCACCACGACCACCACUAAACCGCCCACCACCACGACCACAACGACUACUCAGCCGCCGACUGCACCGCCCACCACGACCACCGCUGAACCCCCCACCACCACGACCACAACAACUACUCAGCCGCCGACUGCACCCCCCACCACGACCACUGAGGCACCGUCUGAACCCACGACCACUGCGAGCCCAACAGCCACGCCUACUCCUGCCCCAGAGACGGAGUGCGGGGUGGAUGGGUGUGAGGUGUGCGAGGGGGACUCCGCGGCGAGGUGCGCCAGGUGCGGUGAGGGCUACUUCCUGACGGACGAGAGGACGUGCCUGGUGUACUGCGAUGGCGGCGUUGCGGCCGUGUCGAGCGGAGCGGCUGCUGCCGCUGCUGUGUGCGUGGUGGUGCUGCUGAGCGUGGGGCUGGCGGCGUGAGGAUGCCGCUGCUGUCACGCGCAGGCGGCGGCCCUCGCUGCGUGGCACACGACUGUGUGCGUGCUUGCGUGCAGCACCGCCCCCUGCGCUGGCGUGCGCGUGCGUGUCUCUGUGUGCAUGACUGUUGGCGUUGCCCUCCCUCCUGCCUCUGCCUCUCCGCGUGUGGAUGCUGUGGGCUGUGCGUGGGGCUCUCGUGCGGCGCUGCUGCUCUCGCGGUGUCGCUCCUCUGCCCUGACUCUCUCUCUCGCCCGCGUGUGUGCCUGUGGGCUGAUGGGGGCGGAGCGCGGGUGUGUGUGGAGCGGGGCAGCCGCUGGAGAGAGGGGGAGGGCGAUAGCCGAGGCGCAAGGGCCGCGGUGUUUGUGCGGCCAUGUGCGGGUGUGCGGCACACGCGGCGCUGCGUGCAUCGGCUUUGGACCGACAGCCCGCACCCCCUUCCGUCGCCUCCACUUCUCCCUCGCUCCCUCGUUGCACGUGAGAGGCGCGCACCCAUGGCUGCUGCGGCGCACACGCAAGGCAGCGUGUAUUGUGUCUCGGUGCGACCUCUGCAUGGCGGCCCCGCUCUGCGACACCUUGUUGCCCGGGCACUCCGGCGGCGUGCGCUCUGUCCCCCUCUCCUGUCACGUGUCGUGAUGCGCUGCUGCGCUGAGGAUGCGUGCACACGGCCUGCCAGCACGGCUGCUGCACGAGCCGCAGCAAUGGCGUACAGCAGGGUGUGGGCGUCGGGCGCAGUGCUGGUCUGGUGAGGCGGACCCCUCUUAUCUGUGGUGCCCCUGCUGCCUCCCCUCCCCCUCGGCACGACGUCCUCGCUGCCCUCUCACCCCCGGCUGCUACAGGAGAGACCGACGCCCACGCGCGGACGCAGACACACACCGUCGUGCACCGUUCGCGCUUUCCCCCGCUGUCGCGCCGGCACGGAUGCACGAGGAUGCGGGGGCGUGCGCACGUAUGUGCGUGUGUGCGUGCCGGCUGUUGUCUGUCGCUCUCUCUCUGCGACCAGCACUCGGCACCCGCGCCGAUGGAAUGUGUGCGCGGCGGUGGAGGCUCGCCUUGGGCCGCGGGUGCGGACGUCCGCCACUGGCUGUCUGCGGUGCGGGCUGCUGUGCUGCAGCGCCUCGAGGCCCCCCUCUCCCGCCAGGGCGAGCGAGCGAGCCUCUGCUGCCGUGUGGGCGACGCACGCAUGCACCGUCCGGGCCUCUUCAACGUGCUUCGAUAGCGGUGCUGUGUUUUGGCCGUGUGGGCGGGUGCUGCGGAGGCGCCUGGCGUGGCUGUGCUGGCACGCCUUGCCGCGCCCCUUGCGCCGCUGCCAUCGGCGGCUUCGUCGCUGACGCUGCCGCUCGCACGCGUGCUCGGGUCGUCUGUGCAGCAGCGGUGGUGUGCCGGAGUCGGCGGCACGCCGUCGAACCCUGAUUGGCGCCUCCGCCAGGUGCGACGGGGAGGCUGGGGGGAUGGGGAGGGCGUGGGCGCCCUCGUGCGCGGCAUGCGGGGAUGCGCGUGCGGCGGCGCUCUACUGCGCUGAGUAGUGAGGCUCGGUGCACGCGGCGCGAUGACACGCAGCCUCGCUACCGGGCCACCCCGCUGUGCGUACGCAGCGGGUGAGCAGGCCCGUGCUCUCCCCUGCAGCUUGCCCCUCUCCCCCACCCUCCUCUCUCGCAUGCCGGCGAGGGAGGGGUGGCACGUGCGCGUGUGCCGCUGCGCUUGCGAGUGCGUCUGUGCGUGGGCCCUCACCACGUGCUCCGGUCACGCCUUUUCGGCUGGCCACUCGCGGCGCUGAGGGCGGUGUGCCCCUCCCCCGAGCGCCGUCGCACUCUCUUCCGCGCGCCUGCGCGGGCUUCUUCGUGCGCUGUGCUCAGCCGUGCGCUCUCACCUCUUUCCCUUUUCAUUCGCUUGUCUUCUCUCUUCUCCCCCGCACUGCGGUCUCCCCUCCUCUGCCGUGCGGUGCGCAGGCGGGUGACUUGCCGUUGCGUCUCCCCCUUUCGUGGAGCGCUGAGCCGAUCCCCCUUCGGCCUCCCUCCUCCCUCCUCCCGUGUGGGUCCUGUCUGUUGUACAUCGUCGGACCGUCUCUUCGUGUUGCCUCUCCGCCACUUCCGCAAAUCUGCGCUCGCGUGUGCCGCCUCCCGGACUUGAGCCUUACUGUGAUUGUAUUCUCACGGUGCGUCUCCGUGUGCGUGUGUGCAUCACCGUUGGGCGGCGACAUCGCUGCCCCUCCCUGCCACCCUCUCCUCCCUCAUUCGCAUCUGGAACUUUCGUGGGCGGCGCAUGCGUGCAUUUGGAUGUGUGUGUAAGUGUUUGGGUGUAGGUAUAUGCGUGUGUGUUGAAGUAGCUGUGUAUAAGCAAGGGCAUGUGUCUGUGCAUGCAUAUAAAUAUGUUUAUGUGUAGUGUGUGCCGGCACGUGUGUCGCGCCACGCUCUCUUGCCCGCCUCCCCUGUGCCUGUCACUCGCUCUGGGCGCGCUGGCGGCGGGCGCCGGGUGGUGGCCGCGCGGAAGGUGGGCGGCGGCCCUUCCCUAUUUCUGUUUUUCGCUAUUUCUCUGUUUCCU